Non-coding RNA from Arachis ipaensis, 421 nucleotides. Lineage: Eukaryota; Viridiplantae; Streptophyta; Magnoliopsida; Fabales; Fabaceae. The record is from RefSeq and is a predicted model, not a curated record.
UCGCUCACCGCUCCUCUGAUCCCGUCGCUCACCAUCAGUCGUCUUCGCGGUGUGCUCACAUCGGUUGUCAGCAUCAUCCUCUGAUCCCGUCGCUCACCAUCGUGGUGGAGAAGAAACUGAUGACAGGAGAGGACCAUCAUUAAGAGCUAAGAUUGUAGGAAGUAAUCACAAGAACAAGAACAAGAAUAAAGCUAAGGUGGGGUUAGCAAGACGAAGCAAUCACAAGAACAAUUAUUUUGAAAAAUGUUUCAUCCAUCUCAGGUAAUGUUCCUGAAACCUAAACUAGAAGCUUAGUAAAAACAGAAACAAGCAUUCCUUUAAAGCUUUCGUGCCUUGGUGUGAUAUAAGAUUUUUUGAUAAAUGCUCAUAAAGAAAACAGUUCUUUAAAACAUUAUAUUCUUCAUAAAUAAGGUUAAAUAAC